RNAcentral lists this transfer RNA (62 nucleotides) under Caulerpa lentillifera. RNAcentral describes it as "tRNA-Phe". The record is from RNAcentral. Lineage: Eukaryota; Viridiplantae; Chlorophyta; Ulvophyceae; Bryopsidales; Caulerpaceae.
GUACGUGCUUCCGCGUUCGGGCACAAGCCCUUCGGGCUUCCAGCCAAGCGCUGCAAGCACGU